GUGCCAGCCGCCGCGGUAAUACCGGCAGCUCAAGUGAUGUCCCAUAUUAUUGGGCCUAAAGCGUCCGUAGCUGGCCGACCAAGUCUCCCGGGAAAUCCACCCGCCCAACGGGUGGGCGUCCGGUAGAAACUGGCCGGCUUGGAACCGGAAGGCUCAGAGAGUACGUCCGGGGUAGGAGUGAAAUCCCGUAAUCCCGGACGGACCGCCGGUGGCGAAAGCGCCUCAGGAGGACGGACUCGACAGUGAGGGACGAAAGCCAGGGUCUCGAACCGGAUUAGAUACCCUUGUAGUCC
This 293-nucleotide ribosomal RNA is filed under the name uncultured bacterium. RNAcentral's name for it is "partial 16S ribosomal RNA". It matches the Rfam family "Archaeal small subunit ribosomal RNA", at positions 455 to 747 of the family's 1478-position model. The record is from RNAcentral.